This 864-nucleotide ribosomal RNA is filed under the name Phylloporia sp. VFL-2017b. RNAcentral describes it as "partial large subunit ribosomal RNA". The record is from RNAcentral. Lineage: Eukaryota; Fungi; Basidiomycota; Agaricomycetes; Hymenochaetales; Hymenochaetaceae.
AGUAACUGCGAGUGAAGCGGGAAGAGCUCAAAUUUGUAAUCUGGCGGCCUUGUGUCGUCCGAGUUGUAAUCUGUAGAGGCGUUGUCCGUGUCGGUCCGUGCACAAGUCUCCUGGAACGGAGCGUCGUAGAGGGUGAGAAUCCCGUGUGUGGCACGGACGGCCGAUGYUUUUGUGAGGCGCCCUCGAAGAGUCGCGUUGUUUGGGAAUGCAGCGCAAAAUGGGUGGAAAAUUCCAUCUAAGGCUAAAUAUUGGCGAGAGACCGAUAGCGAACAAGUACCGUGAGGGAAAGAUGAAAAGCACUUUGGAAAGAGAGUUAAACAGUACGUGAAAUUGUUGAAAGGGAAACGUUUGAAGUCAGUCGCGUCUCCGGGACACUCAGCCUCGCUUCGGUGAGGUGCACUUGUCUCGGGAUGGGUCAACAUCAGUUUUGGCCGGCAGAUAAGGAUGGGGGGAAGGUGGCGUCGUUUCGGCGACGUGUUAGCCCCYUGUCGGACGUGUCGGCUGGGACUGAGGACUUUGCAGCACGCCCUUGUGGUCGGAGGGUUCUCCCUCACGUUAACGUGCUUAGGAUGUUGGCAUAAUGGCUUUAAGCGACCCGUCUUGAAACACGGACCACGGAGUCUAACAUGCUUGCGAGUGUUCGGGUGGAAAACCCUUGCGCGUAAUGAAAGUGAAAGUUGGGAGCCUUCUUUUGGUCGAGGGUGCACCGACGCCCGGCCCUGAAGUGUUCUGACGGUGCCGCGGUGGAGCAGGUAUGUUGGGACCCGAAAGAUGGUGAACUAUGCCUGAAUAGGGUGAAGCCAGAGGAAACUCUGGUGGAGGCUCGUAGCGAUUCUGACGUGCAAAUCGAUCGUCGAAAUUUGU